Molecule: transfer RNA, 76 nt
Filed under: Anatilimnocola aggregata
Lineage: Bacteria; Pseudomonadati; Planctomycetota; Planctomycetia; Pirellulales; Pirellulaceae
Description: Planctomycetes bacterium ETA_A8 tRNA-Pro
Rfam family: tRNA
About the family: Transfer RNA (tRNA) molecules are approximately 80 nucleotides in length. Their secondary structure includes four short double-helical elements and three loops (D, anti-codon, and T loops). Further hydrogen bonds mediate the characteristic L-shaped molecular structure. tRNAs have two regions of fundamental functional importance: the anti-codon, which is responsible for specific mRNA codon recognition, and the 3' end, to which the tRNAs corresponding amino acid is attached (by aminoacyl-tRNA synthetases). tRNAs cope with the degeneracy of the genetic code in two manners: having more than one tRNA (with a specific anti-codon) for a particular amino acid; and 'wobble' base-pairing, i.e. permitting non-standard base-pairing at the 3rd anti-codon position.
Source: RNAcentral
CGGGAUGUAGCUCAGCCUGGCUAGAGCGCUUGGUUUGGGACCAAGAAGUCGUAGGUUCAAAUCCUAUCAUCCCGAC